GAACUGGUGGUUCAGCGGUAGAAUUCUCGCCUUCCAUGCGGGAAACCUGGGUUUAAUUCCUGGCCAAUACA
This 71-nucleotide transfer RNA is filed under the name Loxodonta africana (African savanna elephant). It matches the Rfam family "tRNA". From Rfam's summary of the family: Transfer RNA (tRNA) molecules are approximately 80 nucleotides in length. Their secondary structure includes four short double-helical elements and three loops (D, anti-codon, and T loops). Lineage: Eukaryota; Metazoa; Chordata; Mammalia; Proboscidea; Elephantidae. The record is from Rfam by way of RNAcentral.